Molecule: transfer RNA, 72 nt
Filed under: Melanotaenia trifasciata (banded rainbowfish)
Lineage: Eukaryota; Metazoa; Chordata; Actinopteri; Atheriniformes; Melanotaeniidae
Also listed under: 3 other names
Description: tRNA-Gly
Rfam family: tRNA
About the family: Transfer RNA (tRNA) molecules are approximately 80 nucleotides in length. Their secondary structure includes four short double-helical elements and three loops (D, anti-codon, and T loops). Further hydrogen bonds mediate the characteristic L-shaped molecular structure. tRNAs have two regions of fundamental functional importance: the anti-codon, which is responsible for specific mRNA codon recognition, and the 3' end, to which the tRNAs corresponding amino acid is attached (by aminoacyl-tRNA synthetases). tRNAs cope with the degeneracy of the genetic code in two manners: having more than one tRNA (with a specific anti-codon) for a particular amino acid; and 'wobble' base-pairing, i.e. permitting non-standard base-pairing at the 3rd anti-codon position.
Source: RNAcentral
AUCUUUCUAGUACAAACGCUAGUACUAGUGACUUCCAAUCACUAAAUCUUGGUGCAAGUCCAAGGAAAGAUA